CAUCUUUCCAAGUAUACCAUGAAUCUGGACUUCAAUUUCCCACUGAUUUCUUUCCUGCUGCUGACAAUGGUCACAUCACAAAAUCCUGUCUCAUCCACAAUAGGAGGGCUUAAGUUGCAUCACGUUGUCUUCAGAAACUGCAGAGCAUCUGUAGGAUCAACUAACGCAGAAAAAUUAAGUAGAAGUUCAAGGUUAGAUAAAGAACAGCGACUAAGAAUGAAGCCAACAGGAAAAGAAGUAAGAAGUAAAGAUGGGGAUGAAGUCCUGACAGCGCUGUUUGGGCCCCUGACCGAGCUGUACUUCAAACGAGACUAUCCCCUGGACUUUCAAGCAACUUGAGCCGAUAAAUUCCCCUUAUUUUUAAGCUAGGUAGAAUUGGUUUUCUUUCACAUGCAACAGAAAGAAUCCUAAGUGAUAUAUUUAGGAACUGAGAGGAACUAAACCUGCUAGUUGAAGGCAUCGUCUCUACAGCCAACAAAAGCUCAAGUAGUCAAAUCCGAUAGAUUCACAGCGUGGUCAACGGCGCUCUUCAAUGUCUUUGACUGGAUCUUUCUGUAUUCUUACUCGUGUUCACAAUCAGCCCACAUCUGAUUUUGAUAGAGUCAUUUUUUCUAAAUAUCUUUCCCAAUAGAAGGAAUAAAAUAUCUUGAGUUUUAUACAUGUGAAUCCCAUAUCUCCAUCUAUUUUUAAGCAUGUCCCUAAGACUCAAAACUCAAAAUUGUUAUUUUAUGAUGAGUCUUAAACAAAAACAAAAACAAAACCUCAAGGGUUUAAUCUGGAAUACUAAUCGGGUUGAAAAUAAACACAAAAGUUCAGCGGCCAAGAAUGAAAUAGUGAAAGACCAUUAUGACUUUUCUUUAGGCUCCAG
This 868-nucleotide long non-coding RNA is filed under the name Equus asinus (donkey). Its description in RNAcentral is "lncRNA (ENSEASG00005031676.1)". Lineage: Eukaryota; Metazoa; Chordata; Mammalia; Perissodactyla; Equidae. The record is from RNAcentral.